RNAcentral lists this ribosomal RNA (254 nucleotides) under uncultured bacterium. RNAcentral's name for it is "partial 16S ribosomal RNA". It matches the Rfam family "Bacterial small subunit ribosomal RNA", at positions 524 to 776 of the family's 1533-position model. The record is from RNAcentral.
GACGGAGGAUGCAAGCGUUAUCCGGAAUGAUUGGGCGUAAAGCGUCCGCAGGUGGCAAUUCAAGUCUGCUGUUAAAGCGCAGGGCUUAACUCUGUAAAGGCAGUGGAAACUGAAUAGCUAGAGUGUGGUAGGGGCAGAGGGAAUUCCCAGUGUAGCGGUGAAAUGCGUAGAGAUUGGGAAGAACAUCGGUGGCGAAGGCGCUCUGCUGGGCCAUAACUGACACUCACAGGACGAAAGCUAGGGGAGCGAAUGGG